Molecule: transfer RNA, 77 nt
Filed under: Rickettsiales bacterium
Lineage: Bacteria; Pseudomonadati; Pseudomonadota; Alphaproteobacteria; Rickettsiales
Description: tRNA-Val
Rfam family: tRNA
About the family: Transfer RNA (tRNA) molecules are approximately 80 nucleotides in length.
Source: RNAcentral
GGGCGAUUAGCUCAGUUGGUUAGAGCGCCACGGUGACAUCGUGGAGGUCAUUGGUUCGAGCCCAGUAUCGCCCACCA